CCCAAAGAAGUGAAGGAAGCUGCAAGAUAGGUAAAGUUAGGUAUUAACUAAAGAACGCCCUUUAAAGCUUGAUUAAGCCAUAAUGUAAAUAUAAUAAAUUAAAUGGACCAGUUCAAUAGCAUUACUGAACUGUACACAUAUUAAGGUAAAUGGACCAGUUCAAUAGCAUUACUGAACUGUACACAUAUGAAGGUAAAUGGACCAGUUCAAUAGCAUUACUGAACUGUACACAUAUGAAGGUAAAUGGACCAGUUCAAUAGCAUUACUGAACUGUACACAUAUUAAGGUAAAUGGACCAGUUCAAUAGCAUUACUGAACUGUACACAUAUGAAGGUAAAUGGACCAGUUCAAUAGCAUUACUGAACUGUACACAUAUGAAGGUAAAUGGACCAGUUCAAUAGCAUUACUGAACUGUACACAUAUGAAGGUAAAUGGACCAGUUCAAUAGCAUUACUGAACUGUACACAUAUGAAGGUAAAUGGACCAGUUCAAUAGCAUUA
Molecule: long non-coding RNA, 500 nt
Organism: Oncorhynchus keta (chum salmon)
Lineage: Eukaryota; Metazoa; Chordata; Actinopteri; Salmoniformes; Salmonidae
Exons: 3
Source: RefSeq, a predicted model, not a curated record